ACCUCGGGAAUUGAGGAUAAUGCCCCAUAGAUCAUGGAAUCUGGAAUGAUCCAUGGUUGAAAGUUCCGGCGCUUAAGGAUCGCUCUGCGGCCUAUCAGGUAGUAGUGGGUGUAACGUACCCCCUAGCCAGUGACGGGUAUGGGCCUUGAGAGAGGGAGCCCAGAGUUGGAUUCUGAGACACGAAUCCAGGCCCUACGGGGCGCAGCAGUCGCGAAAACUUCACACUGGGGGCAACCCCGAUGAGGGAAUUCCUAGUGCUAGGACAUUUGUUCUAGCUUUUCUUCAGCGUAGAUAACUGAAGGAAUAAGGGCUGGGUAAGACGGGUGCCAGCCGCCGCGGUAAUACCUGCAGCCCAAGUGGUGGUCGAUUUUAUUGAGUCUAAAACGUUCGUAGCCGGUUUGAUAAAUCCUUGGGUAAAUCGGGAAGCUUAACUUUCCGACUUCCGAGGAGACUGUCAAACUUGGGACCGGGAGAGGCUAGAGGUACUUCUGGGGUAGGGGUAAAAUCCUGUAAUCCUAGAAGGACCACCGGUGGCGAAGGCGUCUAGCUAGAACGGAUCCGACGGUGAGGGACGAAGCCCUGGGUCGCAAACGGGAUUAGAUACCCCGGUAGUCCAGGGUGUAAACGCUGCAGACUUGGUGUUGGAGGCCCUUCGGGGGCAUUCAGUGCCGGAGAGAAGUUGUUAAGUCUGCUACUUGGGGAGUACGUCCGCAAGGAUGAAACUUAAAGGAAUUGGCGGGGGAGCAC
Molecule: ribosomal RNA, 747 nt
Filed under: uncultured archaeon
Lineage: Archaea
Description: bacterial SSU rRNA
Rfam family: Archaeal small subunit ribosomal RNA
Source: RNAcentral